This is a transfer RNA of Toxocara canis (dog roundworm), 72 nucleotides long. It matches the Rfam family "tRNA". Rfam says of the family: Transfer RNA (tRNA) molecules are approximately 80 nucleotides in length. Their secondary structure includes four short double-helical elements and three loops (D, anti-codon, and T loops). Further hydrogen bonds mediate the characteristic L-shaped molecular structure. tRNAs have two regions of fundamental functional importance: the anti-codon, which is responsible for specific mRNA codon recognition, and the 3' end, to which the tRNAs corresponding amino acid is attached (by aminoacyl-tRNA synthetases). tRNAs cope with the degeneracy of the genetic code in two manners: having more than one tRNA (with a specific anti-codon) for a particular amino acid; and 'wobble' base-pairing, i.e. permitting non-standard base-pairing at the 3rd anti-codon position. NCBI's taxonomy places the organism in Eukaryota, Metazoa, Nematoda, Chromadorea, Rhabditida, Toxocaridae. The record is from Rfam.
GGGGAAGUAGCUCAGUGGUAGAGCUGCCGCUUCGUACGCGGGAAGACCCGGGUUGGAUUCCCAGCUGCUUUC